AGUGAAUAGAUACCCAGGUAGUCCCAGCCGUAAACGAUGCUCGCUAGGUGUCAGGCAUGGCGCGACCGUGUCUGGUGCCGCAGGGAAGCCGUGAAGCGAGCCACCUGGGAAGUACGGCCGCAAGGCUGAAACUUAAAGGAAUUGGCGGGGAGCACAACAACGGGUGGAGCCUGCGGUUUAAUUGGACUCAACGCCGGACAACUCACCGGGGGCGACAGCAAUAUGUAGGCCAGGCUGAAGACCUUGCCUGAAUCGCUGAGAGGAGGUGCAUGGCCGUCGCCAGUUCGUACUGUGAAGCAUCCUGUUAAGUCAGGCAACGAGCGAGACCCGUGCCCACUGUUACCAGCAUAUUCUCCGGAAUGAUGGGUACUCUGUGGGGACCGCCGAUGUUAAAUCGGAGGAAGGUGCGGGCCACGGUAGGUCAGUAUGCCCCGAAUCUCCCGGGCUACACGCGGGCUACAAUGGAUGGGACAAUGGGUCCCUACCCCGAAAGGGGCUGGUAAUCUCACAAACCCAUUCGUAGUUCGGAUCGAGGGCU
Molecule: ribosomal RNA, 538 nt
Filed under: uncultured bacterium
Lineage: Bacteria
Description: bacterial SSU rRNA
Rfam family: Archaeal small subunit ribosomal RNA
Source: RNAcentral